Molecule: long non-coding RNA, 676 nt
Filed under: Mus musculus (house mouse)
Lineage: Eukaryota; Metazoa; Chordata; Mammalia; Rodentia; Muridae
Description: RIKEN cDNA 3110053B16 gene
Source: RNAcentral
AGUUUCAGCUGGCUGUUCCCGCUAGCAUCAGGGCUCGAUCGUAGAGGACGCGGCAGCCGCAGCUCGCGGAGAACAGCGGGCAGAGCUGUGGGCUGCACGCGCCCCUGCAGCCACCGGGCGUCCCGCAGAGGCUCCCGCGCCCUGCGGCGACUUCCGCCCCCGCGCUCCCCUUUGUCCGAGUCCCCAAGCGGCGGCGGCGGGGUAGGAGCCCACGCCGUGGGCGACUGAGGCGGCGGCAGUCCGCGUCCCGGCGCCCUGGAGAUGCCGGACCAGAUCUCCGUGUCGGAAUUCGUGGCCGAGACCCUUGAGGACUACAAGGCGCCCACGGCCUCUAGCUUCACCACGGGCACGGCCCAGUGCCGGAACACCAUGGCGGCCAUCGAGGAGGUGCUGCAGGACCUGCGGAAAACAGGGAGUUCACCCACCAUGAGCUUCAGGAGUGGUACAAGGGCUUCCUCAAUGACUGUCCCACUGGCCACCUGACUGUGGACAAUUUCAAGAUCUAGGCCAACUUCUUCCCCUACAGAGAUUCCUCCAAGUUUGCUGAACAUGUCUUCCACACCUUUGACACCAACAGCGACAGCACCAUCGACUUUCAAGAGUUCAUCAUUGCUCUGAUCAUGACCUCUCGGGGCAAGCUGGAACAGAAGCUCAAGUGGGCCUUCAGAAUGUCUGA